This is a long non-coding RNA of Ornithodoros turicata, 691 nucleotides long. RefSeq lists it as uncharacterized. The record is from RefSeq and is a predicted model, not a curated record. NCBI's taxonomy places the organism in Eukaryota, Metazoa, Arthropoda, Arachnida, Ixodida, Argasidae. The transcript is spliced from 3 exons.
AGCUCUCUAACUGCGAACUUGUGUGACUCCCGGUUCAUCCUCUUUGUUCGGGUCAUUGGGUUGGUGUUGGAGUUGGUCACCAUAUUCUGAACGUUUCACCUAUCGUUGCGGUGUACUGUUCUUGAUCUGCUGCGAAGCGACGAACCGCAACGGCAGUCACUCGCCUCAGCGAACUUCUGUCUGCUGCAUCUCAAAGGAGCAUGGGGACCUGAUGAUACCUUCAACUAAAAAAAACAAAUGUGCUCUCGUGUGGUCCUGACGGAAAAGUAGUAUCAACAAGAACCCUCCACUUUUUCGACCAAGUUAUCGUUAUGAGAUCCUUCUGAUGGCUUCUUACUAGGCUAUGCCGCUCCGAAGCAUUGAGAUGACGAAGCGUCGUGGUAGCUGCACCUCUGCCUUCGAAAGAUGAAUCAUUCAUUCCACACUGUGCUUACUGGCUUUGUAUAGAGUCUGGCAAAUCCGACAGACUUGGACUGCCUUUUUCAAGAAAGUUUGAAAUAGCAUCCCUUAUGCACCUGCAUUUCAAUUCCAAUCUGUAUUACAAGAAUGACAGACCACUCAACAGAGAUGAACAUCUGAAAGUGAAAGAGCUGGAAUGAAGAUACGUUAAUCUGUGUCAAAGGUUCUUAGUAUGUGUGCGAGUCGAGGACAUAGGUCUCAAGCUUAUUCCUGUCUCCAGAAGAGGUGACAA